GCUCAGGACGAACGCUGGCGGCGUGCCUAAUACAUGCAAGUUGAGCGCUGAAGGUUGGUACUUGUACCAACUGGAUGAGCAGCGAACGGGUGAGUAACGCGUGGGGAAUCUGCCUUUGAGCGGGGGACAACAUUUGGAAACGAAUGCUAAUACCGCAUAAAAACUUUAAACACAAGUUUUAAGUUUGAAAGAUGCAAUUGCAUCACUCAAAGAUGAUCCCGCGUUGUAUUAGCUAGUUGGUGAGGUAAAGGCUCACCAAGGCGAUGAUACAUAGCCGACCUGAGAGGGUGAUCGGCCACAUUGGGACUGAGACACGGCCCAAACUCCUACGGGAGGCAGCAGUAGGGAAUCUUCGGCAAUGGACGAAAGUCUGACCGAGCNACGCCGCGUGAGUGAAGAAGUUUUCGGAUCGUAAAACUCUUUAGGUAGAGGGGAACGUUGUGAGAGUGAUUNAUCAUCANAGUGUACGUACUACCG
Molecule: ribosomal RNA, 477 nt
Filed under: Lactococcus lactis
Lineage: Bacteria; Bacillati; Bacillota; Bacilli; Lactobacillales; Streptococcaceae
Description: bacterial SSU rRNA
Rfam family: Bacterial small subunit ribosomal RNA
Source: RNAcentral